This 253-nucleotide ribosomal RNA is filed under the name uncultured bacterium. RNAcentral describes it as "partial 16S ribosomal RNA". It matches the Rfam family "Bacterial small subunit ribosomal RNA", at positions 524 to 776 of the family's 1533-position model. The record is from RNAcentral.
GACGUAGGGCGCGAGCGUUGUCCGGAUUUAUUGGGCGUAAAGAGCUCGUAGGCGGUCUGUCGCGUCUGCUGUGAAAUCCCGAGGCUCAACCUCGGGCUUGCAGUGGGUACGGGCAGGCUAGAGUGCGGUAGGGGAGAAUGGAACUCCUGGUGUAGCGGUGGAAUGCGCAGAUAUCAGGAGGAACACCGAUGGCGAAGGCAGGUCACUGGGCCGCAACUGACGCUGAGGAGCGAAAGCAUGGGGAGCGAACAGG